RNAcentral lists this unclassified non-coding RNA (167 nucleotides) under Penicillium onobense. RNAcentral's name for it is "partial internal transcribed spacer 2". Lineage: Eukaryota; Fungi; Ascomycota; Eurotiomycetes; Eurotiales; Aspergillaceae. The record is from RNAcentral.
CUGCCCUCAAGCACGGCUUGUGUGUUGGGCUUCGCCCCCCGUUCUUCGGGGGGCGGGCCCGAAAGGCAGCGGCGGCACCGCGUCCGGUCCUCGAGCGUAUGGGGCUUUGUCACCCGCUCUGUAGGCCCGGCCGGCGCCCGCCGGCGACACCCAAAUCAAUCUAUCCA